Molecule: ribosomal RNA, 506 nt
Filed under: uncultured bacterium
Lineage: Bacteria
Description: partial 16S ribosomal RNA
Rfam family: Bacterial small subunit ribosomal RNA
Source: RNAcentral
GAUGAACGCUGGCGGCAGGCCUAACACAUGCAAGUCGAACGGUAACAGGAAACAGCUUGCUGUUUCGAUGACGAGUGGCGGACGGGUGAGUAAUGUCUGGGAAACUGCCUGAUGGAGGGGGAUAACUACUGGAAACGGUAGCUAAUACCGCAUAACGUCGCAAGACCAAAGAGGGGGACCUUAGGGCCUCUUGCCAUCGGAUGUGCCCAGAUGGGAUUAGCUAGUAGGUGGGGUAACGGCUCACCUAGGCGACGAUUCCUAGCUUGUCGGAGAGGGUGACCAGCCACACUGGAACUGAGACACGGCCCAGACUCCUACGGGAGUCAGCAGUGGGGAAUAUUGCACAAUGGGCGCAAGCCUGAUGCAGCCAUGCGGCGUGUAUGAAGAAGGCCUUCGGGUUGUAAAGUACUUUCAGCGGGGAGGAAGGGAGUAAAGUUAAUACCUUUGCUCAUUGACGUUACCCGCAGAAGAAGCACCGGCUAACUCCGUGCCAGCAGCCGCCGUAA